This 468-nucleotide ribosomal RNA is filed under the name uncultured bacterium. RNAcentral's name for it is "partial 16S ribosomal RNA". It matches the Rfam family "Bacterial small subunit ribosomal RNA", at positions 28 to 507 of the family's 1533-position model. The record is from RNAcentral.
GACGAACGCUGGCGGCGUGCUUAACACAUGCCAGUCGAACGGAAAGGCCCUGCUUUUGUGGGGUGCUCGAGUGGCGAACGGGUGAGUAACACGUGAGUAACCUGCCCUUGACUUUGGGAUAACUUCAGGAAACUGGGGCUAAUACCGGAUAGGAGCUCCUGCUGCAUGGUGGGGGUUGGAAAGUUUCGGCGGUUGGGGAUGGACUCGCGGCUUAUCCGCUUGUUGGUGUGGUAGUGGCUUACCAAGGCUUUGACGGGUAGCCGGCCUGAGAGGGUGACCGGCCACAUUGGGACUGAGAUACGGACCAGACUCCUACGGGAGGCAGCAGUGGGGAAUAUUGCACAGUGGGCGGAAGCCUGAUGCAGCAACGCCGCGUGCGGGAUGACGGCCUUCGGGUUGUAAACCGCUUUCGCAUGUGACGAAGCGUGAGUGACGGUAAUGGGUAAAGAAGCACCGGCUAACUACGUG